Molecule: ribosomal RNA, 465 nt
Filed under: uncultured Lactobacillus sp.
Lineage: Bacteria; Bacillati; Bacillota; Bacilli; Lactobacillales; Lactobacillaceae
Description: bacterial SSU rRNA
Rfam family: Bacterial small subunit ribosomal RNA
Source: RNAcentral
CCUACGGGGGGCUGCAGUAGGGAAUCUUCCACAAUGGACGAAAGUCUGAUGGAGCAACGCCGCGUGAGUGAAGAAGGGUUUCGGCUCGUAAAACUCUGUUGUUGAAGAAGAACACAUCUGAGAGUAACUGUUCAGGUGUUGACGGUAUUUAACCAGAAAGCCACGGCUAACUACGUGCCAGCAGCCGCGGUAAUACGUAGGUGGCAAGCGUUGUCCGGAUUUAUUGGGCGUAAAGCGAGCGCAGGCGGUUUCUUAAGUCUGAUGUGAAAGCCUUCGGCUUAACCGGAGAAGUGCAUCGGAAACUGGGAGACUUGAGUGCAGAAGAGGACAGUGGAACUCCAUGUGUAGCGGUGAAAUGCGUAGAUAUAUGGAAGAACACCAGUGGCGAAGGCGGCUGUCUGGUCUGUAACUGACGCUGAGGCUCGAAAGCAUGGGUAGCGAACAGGCUUAGAUACCCGAGUAGUC